UACGUAGGGGGCUAGCGUUGUCCGGAUUUAUUGGGCGUAAAGAGCGUGUAGGCGGCCAGGUAGGUCUGCUGUGAAAACUCGAGGCUCAACCUCGAGACGUCGGCGGAAACCAUCUGGCUAGAGUCCGGAAGAGGAGAGUGGAAUUCCUGGUGUAGCGGUGAAAUGCGCAGAUAUCAGGAAGAACACCCGUGGCGAAGGCGGCUCUCUGGGACGGUACUGACGCUGAGGCGCGAAAGCUAGGGGAGCGAACAGG
RNAcentral lists this ribosomal RNA (253 nucleotides) under uncultured bacterium. RNAcentral describes it as "partial 16S ribosomal RNA". It matches the Rfam family "Bacterial small subunit ribosomal RNA", at positions 524 to 776 of the family's 1533-position model. The record is from RNAcentral.